CCACUCUGGGUGCAAGAAAAAAGCCCGUGCGCUUUCUGCCUGCCUGCCCGCGGCGGCCCAGAUUGAAUGGGGGAAUACAGCA
This 82-nucleotide small nucleolar RNA is filed under the name Sorex araneus (European shrew). RNAcentral's name for it is "Small nucleolar RNA SNORA31 (ENSSARG00000019955.1)". The record is from RNAcentral. Lineage: Eukaryota; Metazoa; Chordata; Mammalia; Eulipotyphla; Soricidae.